CAGGGAAGUAAAAAGAGCCGGAAUUACAAACCAGGGCAGCCUUCCUGGGAAGCCCACACUCCUAGCCGCCUACCACAGCUAGCUGUUAGAAGCCAACCUUUCAAAAUGGCUUAAACUGGGGCCAGGGCGAGUCUAGAACUAUUGAAAAGUUUGACUCUCCUGGCAUCAGAUGGACGGAGGUCAGAAAAUAGACACUUUCUUUAAAGAAUGUGUAUUUAGAAGAAGAUUUUAAAUAAGCCAGAAGAACUUGCUCUUUAAAGUAAUACAGUAAAUACUUCAUUUAUAAGGCAACGAGUGUGUGUGUGUAUGUACCCAUUUUUAUUUGGGCAAAUUUGGAGUUCUUGAUAUUCAGUUUGGAUUGGUACAUACAACACACUCCUACAAAAUACAUUCCAGAAUUGAGCAGUAGGAAAAUAUGGAAAAACAAGAUUAAAGGACCAUAGUAGAUUUAUUAGGAAACAGAGAAUAUCUUAUUUAAAAAGAGUAAAUGAAGUAGGAGAAAGCUCAAAUAUUACCCAUGAAUAAAAAACAGGAAAGCUACUUAAAAAGGUCUCUAUACAAAAUGCACAAGGAAAUCCGAUGAAGACAGUUACUCUGAAAGGGACAAAGUGAAUUAUUCUCCAUAGACAAUUAAACCAGGUAGUUUUGCUGCGUAGCCCAUCCAACCAGACAUCCUGUCCACUAGUCCAAUGGCUUUGGGGUACGUGAGACCGCCUGGGUUCUGAGAAGUGGAGAUCUUCUGAAUUCUAAGAAUUCUUAGCAUGGAAAACAAGUGAACAGGUGAAGCUGUGCAUGGAAGGGAGGGGGCUGGAACACGAAACUGCCUGUGUUUCAACCUGCCACUGACGCUCUCUAGCAACGCGACCUUGGCUACAUCUUCCUGCUCCACUCCCUGGGGAAUGUGGGCAUCCUGUCUCCGGUCACCCGUCAUAUCAGAGAACUCAGGAAGUGCGGUUUAUAAAUAUCUCCAGGUGAGUUCAAGUGGGACAGAAUCUCAGAGGCUGCAUUUUGCACCGUUUCUCAUUUUGUGCCAUUGAAUUACUGGGUUGAGUUCAUCUAAAUUGCCAAGUCAGAAAAAAGAGGAGCUGAAUUCACAAUCUGUUACUGUUGCCAGAAAGAAGACAGGCUGCCUAGUUAAAUUUCAAUUUCAG
This 1151-nucleotide long non-coding RNA is filed under the name Equus asinus (donkey). Its description in RNAcentral is "lncRNA (ENSEASG00005037377.1)". The record is from RNAcentral. Lineage: Eukaryota; Metazoa; Chordata; Mammalia; Perissodactyla; Equidae.